CUACGUGCCAGCAGCCGCGGUAAUACGUAUGUCACAAGCGUUAUCCGGAUUUAUUGGGCGUAAAGCGCGUCUAGGUGGUUAUGUAAGUCUGAUGUGAAAAUGCAGGGCUCAACUCUGUAUUGCGUUGGAAACUGUAUGACUAGAGUACUGGAGAGGUAAGCGGAACUACAAGUGUAGAGGUGAAAUUCGUAGAUAUUUGUAGGAAUGCCGAUGGGGAAGCCAGCUUACUGGACAGAUACUGACGCUAAAGCGCGAAAGCGUGGGUAGCAAACAGGAUUAGAUACCCUGGUAGUCCACGCCGUAAACGAUGAUUACUAGGUGUUGGGGGUCGAACCUCAGCGCCCAAGCUAACGCGAUAAGUAAUCCGCCUGGGGAGUACGUACGCAAGUAUGAAACUCAAAGGAAUUGACGGGGGCCCGCACAAGCGGUGGAGCAUGUGGUUUAAUUCGACGCAACGCGAGGAACCUUACCAGCGUUUGACAUC
This 484-nucleotide ribosomal RNA is filed under the name uncultured bacterium. RNAcentral describes it as "bacterial SSU rRNA". It matches the Rfam family "Bacterial small subunit ribosomal RNA", at positions 501 to 988 of the family's 1533-position model. The record is from RNAcentral.